RNA transcript from Erinaceus europaeus (western European hedgehog), 1347 nucleotides. It is a transcript of the gene named NUBP iron-sulfur cluster assembly factor 1, cytosolic, with no coding region annotated. NCBI's taxonomy places the organism in Eukaryota, Metazoa, Chordata, Mammalia, Eulipotyphla, Erinaceidae. The record is from RefSeq and is a predicted model, not a curated record. The transcript has 12 exons.
CGUGCGCACAACUCGCCGCCGCCACCUCCUCCGCGCCGCGGGAGCGUCCGACUGGGCUCCCCGAGGCGGAAGCGCGUCACGGCAGCUUCCGGCGACGGCGGCGGCCGUGCUUGGCGGCAUGGAGGGGGUGCCGCAGGACUGCCCCGGGGCCGGCAGCGCCCAGGCGGGCCGAGGCUCAUCCUGUCAGGGAUGCCCCAACCAGCGGCUGUGCGCUUCCGGGGCCGGGGCCGCUCCGGACCCAGCCGUCGAGGAGAUCAGAGAGAAAAUGAAGGCGGUGAGACACAGAAUUCUGGUGCUGUCCGGGAAAGGCGGCGUGGGCAAAAGCACGUUCAGCGCCCACCUGGCCCACGGCCUCGCGGAGGACGAAGACACGCAGGUCGCCCUCCUGGACGUGGACAUCUGCGGGCCGUCGAUUCCCAAGAUCAUGGGGCUGGAAGGAGAGCAGGUCCACCAGAGCGGCUCAGGCUGGUCCCCCGUGUUCCUGGCAGACAACCUGGGUGUGAUGUCGGUGGGCUUCCUGCUCAGCAGUCCCGACGACGCCGUCAUCUGGAGAGGGCCUAAGAAGAACGGCAUGAUCAAGCAGUUCCUGCGUGACGUGGACUGGGGGGACGUGGACUUCCUCAUCGUGGACACACCGCCUGGCACAUCCGACGAGCACCUCUCACUCGUGCAGUACCUGGCGGCCGCUGGCAUCAACGGGGCCGUGCUCAUCACCACGCCGCAGGAGGUGGCACUGCAGGACGUCCGCAGAGAGAUCAGCUUCUGCCGCAAGGUGCGGCUGCCCAUUCUGGGCGUGGUGGAGAACAUGACCGGCUUCGUCUGCCCCAAGUGCAAGAAGGAGUCUCAGAUCUUCCCGCCAACCACUGGGGGCGCCGAGGCCAUGUGCCAGGCCCUGGGCAUCCCCCUGCUGGGCAGAGUGCCGCUGGACCCGCUCAUAGCCCACACCUGCCACGUACACCCAUUCUCCUUAUCCAAGGAGCAGACAGACCUGCGGACUGGCCACACGCAGACUGCCGGCACCCAGGUAAGAGCUGCGACCGAGGUCAGUCCUUCCUGACGGAGGCCCCAGACUCGCCAGCCACUGCAGCCUACAGGGCCGUCAUCCAGAGAAUCCGGGAGUCCUGCCGCCAGCACCGGCCUGAAGGAGCCCCCGGCCCCAACUCCUGAGACUGGGCAGCCGUGGGGAUGCUGACCAGCCCUGGACCACGGGGUCACACAGGACUGGACCGGCCGGCAUGGGAGGAUCUCUGUGGAGCCGCCUCCGUCCUCGAGUGGCGUCCUCUUCCUCCAGGACACACGGAACCGGUCCUUCCAGCUGUGCCAUCUUAAUAAAAAUGUCUCCUCAAA